RNAcentral lists this ribosomal RNA (549 nucleotides) under Hansenula anomala. RNAcentral describes it as "LSU rRNA". It matches the Rfam family "Eukaryotic large subunit ribosomal RNA", at positions 49 to 600 of the family's 3401-position model. Lineage: Eukaryota; Fungi; Ascomycota; Saccharomycetes; Phaffomycetales; Wickerhamomycetaceae. The record is from RNAcentral.
UACGGAGGAAAAGGAAACCAACAGGGAUUGCCUCAGUAACGGCGAGUGAAGCGGCAAAAGCUCAAAUUUGAAAUCUAGCACCUUCGGUGUUCGAGUUGUAAUUUGAAGAUGGUAACCUUGGGUUUGGCUCUUGUCUAUGUUCCUUGGAACAGGACGUCAUAGAGGGUGAGAAUCCCGUCUGAUGAGAUGCCCAUUCCUAUGUAAGGUGCUAUCGAAGAGUCGAGUUGUUUGGGAAUGCAGCUCUAAGUGGGUGGUAAAUUCCAUCUAAAGCUAAAUAUUGGCGAGAGACCGAUAGCGAACAAGUACAGUGAUGGAAAGAUGAAAAGAACUUUGAAAAGAGAGUGAAAAAGUACGUGAAAUUGUUGAAAGGGAAGGGCAUUAGAUCAGACUUGGUGUUUUACGAUUAUCUUCUCUUCUUGAGUUGUGCACUCGUAUUUCACUGGGCCAGCAUCGAUUCGGAUGGCAAGAUAAUGGCAGUUGAAUGUGGCUUCACUUCGGUGGAGUGUUAUAGCUUCUGCUGAUAUUGCCUGUCUGGAUCGAGGGCUGCGU